GUUUUAAUAGUUUAAAAAAAACGUUAGUCUUGUAAACUAAAAAUAAAAGUUACUUUUUUAAAACU
RNAcentral lists this transfer RNA (65 nucleotides) under Aedes vexans. Its description in RNAcentral is "tRNA-Thr". It matches the Rfam family "tRNA". Rfam says of the family: Transfer RNA (tRNA) molecules are approximately 80 nucleotides in length. The record is from RNAcentral. RNAcentral also lists the same sequence under 1 other name. Lineage: Eukaryota; Metazoa; Arthropoda; Insecta; Diptera; Culicidae.